Molecule: ribosomal RNA, 435 nt
Filed under: uncultured bacterium
Lineage: Bacteria
Description: bacterial SSU rRNA
Rfam family: Bacterial small subunit ribosomal RNA
Source: RNAcentral
GGAGGAAUAUUGGUCAAUGGGCGAGAGCCUGAACCAGCCAAGUGGCGUGCAGGAAGACGGCCCUAUGGGUUGUAAACUUCUUUUAUACGGGAAUAAAGUGCAUCACGUGUGGUGUUUUGUAUGUACCGUAUGAAUAAGGACCGGCUAAUUCCGUGCCAGCAGCCGCGGUAAUACGGAAGGUCCUGGCGUUAUCCGGAUUUAUUGGGUUUUAAAGGGAGCGUAGGCCGGAGAUUAAGCGUGUUGUGAAAUGUAGGAGCUCAACUUCUGCACUGCAGCGCGAACUGGUUUCCUUGAGUACGUAGGAAGUUGGCGGAAUUCGUGGUGUAGCGGUGAAAUGCUUAGAUAUCACGAAGAACUCCGAUUGCGAAGGCAGCUGACUGUAUCGUAACUGACGCUGAAGCUCGAAAGUGUGGGUAUCGAACAGGAUUAGAUACC